UAUUGAUGACUUUGCAAACUUAUCAGGAGGUGGUGUUAGGAAAUCUAAACAGUUUAAACUAUAUAGGAAGACAUUUAUAGGUUAGAAACAAUCUGUUCUACUUCUGCAGAUUAUCUAGAUAAGUGAUGAAGUUUACUUAGUAUAGUAUUUUUUUUCUGUCACUUCUUUAUCUACCGAAAGUGUGAACCCAUGGUAUGAGCCACUAAUGCAAGCAUCGUCAUUCUUUUCUGAGUUUGUCUAAUUCACAUCUAAAUGUUUUCUAAGGAUGUCACAUCUAAGCUCCCACAAAUAACGCAGCAACAAGGAACAAAAAAAAAGCUGGGGCAAAAAAAAAUACACCACAAACAUAGUGGACACAAGGUUAGACGUGACAUAAAUGUGUCCUAGACAGACCCUUCUUUUCUUAGUGAAACAUCAACUUUCCAAAGACAAUAUUCCAAACUGGACAGUUGAUACAUAGAGCUAUUUUACUUUAACAUUUAAAGUGUGGCUGCAAAUCUGGGAUGCAGGAGGUGAAAAUUCAUUGUCUAAUCUGUUUCUCAGUUUCCUCUUUCAGAAACGAGAGAUUUUUCAAGACCUUGCUCCACUGCUGUGGCACUCCUUUGGCACUGUUGCUGCACUGCUCCAGCUCACAUCCCACUGUACCUGUACCCGUUCCUGAAUACUACCAGCAAGACAAGACCUUUUGAGUACUUGAGGCUUACCAGCUUGGGUGUUAUUGGUGCUCUUGUGAAGGUAAAUUAAAACUAGAUACUUAUGCAAACUAGGAAUGGAUGGUCCAUAUAGAUUUUUGCUUUAAAUGGUGAGAGGGUUGUUGAACCAGAGGGGAAAACAGUGAUGGGGAUUGGCUGUAUUCUUUCUUUUUUUUGUAGACUAUAUCUUGUUCUUUUGGUAUUCUCAUUCCAGUAAUCCAGUCAUUUUAAUCAAAUGGACUGGUUGGGAUUGGAUCCCAGGAAUCUCAACAGGAACUGUUAUUUUUGAAGCAAACAGGCUAAUGAUUUGUUAGAAAUUAUAUUGUUUCUUCUUUUGGAUA
Triticum aestivum (bread wheat) is the source of this 1033-nucleotide long non-coding RNA. RefSeq lists it as uncharacterized. The transcript is spliced from 2 exons. The record is from RefSeq and is a predicted model, not a curated record. Lineage: Eukaryota; Viridiplantae; Streptophyta; Magnoliopsida; Poales; Poaceae.